This 11634-nucleotide long non-coding RNA is filed under the name Panax ginseng (ginseng). Its description in RNAcentral is "long non-coding RNA (PGIN_LNC014592)". Lineage: Eukaryota; Viridiplantae; Streptophyta; Magnoliopsida; Apiales; Araliaceae. The record is from RNAcentral.
AAAGAAACAACAAACUGAUAGUUUUUAUUAUCACAAUCACAAAAUACAUAUACUGACACAUUACAGACACAAAUCACUUUUAAUUUAGAUUACAAUCACAACCAUAGGCCUAAUUGUACCACGCUAGUCCUUAUUAUUUUGUAGCAUCUGGCCUCCAAGGCUCCAAUGACUCGCCUGCUUUCAAACUAGAUUCAUAACACAUGGAAUAUGCUUAGACAAUAAGCCCUUCUUAUUGGGUCUUUUGUUGAACGCUAUAUUUCGACUAUUACACUUUCUGAUUCAUGGGCUGGUUUAUCCAUGUGGUGAGGGUAGGAAAACAAUAAAUUUUCUGAUUCAUGGGCUGGUUUAUCCAUGUGGUGGGGGUAGGAAAACGCUAAAUUUUCUGAUUCAUGGGCUGGUUUAUCCAUGUGGUGGGGGUAGGAAAACACUAAAUUUUCUCAUUCAUGGGCUGGUUUAUCCAUGUGGUGGGGGUAGGAAAACACUAAAUUUUCUCAUUCAUGGGCUGGUUUAUCCAUGUGGUGGGGGUAGGAAAAUAACACAUUUUCUGAUUCAUGGACUUUGGUCAAAUGCUUCUCUUCAGCAUUGCUAGCUUUCUUGAUGGAGAAAGGAGAUACUAAAUCACCCUUGUUUAUAAGGCUCUGAAUUGCUUCAGGCAUUGCCUCAGCAUUAGUAACACUUUUCCAGUACGCAUCUGGAUCAGUUCUUGCAUCAACAGUGCUUCCAAUCUGUUUAUUUAAAAAUCCAUAAGUGUAAAAUUAUCAUCAUUUGUAAAACAUAUAUCAUAAAGCAAAAGUAUGUUAUAAAUUUUUAGAACUUACACUUACCAGGAGGAGCGAAAAAAGAGCAAAUAAAGCAAAAUUAGGUGAUUCCAUGCCUUCAAUACUCUCUCAAUAUCCCUUCUGUGUGAUUUGUAUACUCGCCUAUUUAAGUAUUUAUAGAUGGAAGCAAAGCCACCCUAAGGCUAAGCUUGUUCCACGUUGCAGUAUAUUUGUUAGAAUAUAUAUAGGAUCACACACACUAGUCUUUUUAGCGGCUUCCAUAUUAUGAGUCACAAGUUCCCAACAAUAUUAAUAUGUUAUUAUUUCUUAUCAGUGUUGGGUUACUCCUUCAAUUAUAUUCAGAAAAAAUUACUAUUAUGAAAGAAAUAUGUUCUAUUUUUAAUAUAAUAUUUAUUAUAUAUCAGAGUCCUAUUAUGAGAAAAAAAAAUCUUAUUUUCAGUAGGAGUUGAGAGAGUGUGUAAGUGAGUUUUGUGUUUGUGUGAAGGAGAGAGUUUUUUGUAAUUUUUAUAUUUCAUGCAAAAAUGUUGUAUUGUAGGUGGAAGAGUUUUGUAAUUUUUAGUCCGUGCAAAAAGUUAUGUUGUGAUAUUGUCAACUUUUAGUUUUAAGUUGUAAAACUUGAAAGAAUAAUUGUAAACUUGUUAUAUUGAUAUAAUAGAGAUUCAAAAUUUGUCAGUUAAUUUUUCACUUUAAAAAAUUUUCAGGUUAAAUAUUGUGCAUAUUAUCUCUCUUUAUUUUAUCAUAGCAUAGUGACAAGAUCUGUACUUUUUAUUAUGUGAAUUACCUAGCCACGAUAUUUUUAUUUAGUGUCGGUGUGGGAGAACGCUAUAAAAGGCACACUUUUCAUAACCUUUUUGAGGGAGUUUUAAAGUAGACUAAAAAUACUUUUAUAUAUAUAGCGAACCACUUGAUAUUUAUACCGAACCGACGGUUCGAAUCGAUUCGGUUUGUCCAAAAUCAAAAAAACCGGUUUUUUCGUACACCCGUAGAUCCGUCCGCAUUAAAAUAAAGACUUGAUUCCGAAAGCACUUAAUUUGCAGUAUUGACAAAGGCUAAAUACAUUUUCGUUAUAAUCAAAACCUGUUUGAGGGAGUUUUAAUUUGGAAGAGGAGCUCUUUUUAUGAGAAGUGAGAAAAUAUACAAUUUUCUGUUCUUAUUUAUCAACUUUGUAUGUCAACAGAAGGAUUUUUUUUUUUUUUUAUUUUGUCUUAUUUUAUUUUUUUAUGACAUAUGGAUCCAAAGAGACCAAUAUGUGGGUCAAUUUUUGCCGAAAAAUAAUUUUGGGAUCGACAUUGUAUGCAAUUCGAUAGUUGAUAUAACAGAUGUGUAAGUCCAAUUACUUUAGGAACUAAAUUAAUUAGGGUCUUUUACACUAAUAUACAACAAUUAGAAAGUAAUUACAAAAAUAAAACAUACACAACAUAAUUACAAAAAUGAAACAUACACAACAUAAUUACAAAAUUACGUGCUAAAAUCACGUGUCAUUAACUCCUACACAUCGGUUACCAAAUUUCAUAUUUGAAAUUAACCGUUCCUAAAAUCAUGCAAUUUUGAAAUCGGAACAACAGAUCAACGACGGAAAAGACAAACAAGACGAAGCUGAAGCCUCCAGUCGCGAGUAAACUCUUAAUCGGAGAAGACGAAGCCGGUUGUCACGGCACAUCUCUAAGAUCGAAAAUAGCCUCCAAAAUCAACAACGCCUUCUAGUUCAGUAACCAAAUACUGCAUUAAUUAAUUAAUACAAGAUCAACAUCAAUUUCAAUACAACAAUACUGAGGUAUGUUAUUUUAAAAUUUACAAUCAUAUAUUUACCUAUUGUUACAAAUGAAUUAAUGUUUUGGUUACCUUUCUUAGGUUUUUUGCACUUAAAAUGAUCACACAGUAAUAAUAAUGAAUGUUUUGAUUGCAAGAUGAAUUUGAAAAAUUGGUUACUGCUUUCUACAUUGGUUACUGCUUAACAUUACAUUGGUUAUUGGUUAUGCUGUAUUGGUUACUGCUUAACAUUACAUUGGUUACUGUCUGAUAAUGACUUGGUUACUGUGUGUUGCUGCAUUGGUUACUGAUUAAUAAUGCUUUUGUUACUGUGUAAUAUUAUAAUGGUUGCUUAUGAAGACUUGGUUACUGACAUUGGCUAAAUUGGUUACCGUCUAACAUUGAACUAGUUAUUUGGUUACUUAACUAUUUAUUUGGUUACUUAACAUUACAUUGGUUAUUGAUUAUGCUGUAUUGGUUACUGCUUAACAUUACAUUGGUUACUGUCUAACUAUGUCUAUGUUACUGUUUAAUGCUGACUUGGUUAAUGCAUAAUGGUACUAACUAAUGUUGCAUUGGUUACUAACUGAUAAUGACUUAAUUACUGUGUGUUGCUGCAUUGGUUACUGACUAAUAAUGAUUUUGUUACUGUGUAAUAUUAUAAUGGUUGCUUAUGAAGACUUGGUUACUGACAUUGGAUAUAUUGGUUACCGGCUAACAUUGAACUAGUUAUUUGGUUACUUAACUAGUUAUUUGGUUACUUAACAUUACAUUGGUUAUUGAUUAUGUUGUAUUGGUUACUGCUUAACAUUACAUUGGUUACUGUCUGACUAUGUCUAUGUUACUGUUUAAUGCUGGAUUGGUUAAUGCAUAAUGGUACUAACUAAUGUUGCAUUGGUUACUGACUAAUAAUGAUUUGGUUACUGUGUACCAUUACAUUGAUUAUUGACUAAUAAUGAUUUGGUUACUGACUAAUAAUGACUUUGUUAAUGUGUAACAUUAUAAUGGUUACUAAUGAAGACUUGGUUACUGACUAAUGCUGACUUAAUUACUGCUUAACAUUACAUUGCUUAAUGUCUGACUAUGUCUAUGUUACUGACUAAUACUGAUUUGGUUACUGUGUACCACUGCAUUGUUUACUGACUAAUAAUGACUUUGUUACUGUGUAACAUUAUAAUGUUUACUGAUGAAGACUUGGUUACUGACUAAUAAUGACUUGGUUACUGUUUAACAUUAUAUUGGUUACAGGCUAACAUAGGUUAUUGACUAAUAAUUAAUUGGCUACUGUGUACCAUUGCAUUGGUUACUGACUAAUAAUGACUUUGUUACUGUGUAACAUUAUAAUGGUUACUAAUGAAGACUUGGUUAUUGACUAAUGCUGACUUAAUUACUGCUUAACAUUACAUUGGUUACUGUCUGACUAUGUAUAUGUUACUGUGUUCCAUUGCAUUGGUUACUAACUAAAAAUUACUUUGUUACUGUGUAACAUUAUAAUGGUUACUGAUGAAGACUUGGUUACUGACUAAUGCUGACUUGGUUACUGUUUAACAUUAUAUUGGUUACCGGAUAACAUUGAUUUUGUUACUUACCAUUACUUAUUCUGUUGACAGACAAUGGAGAUGAUUCCAGUUGUACUUUAUUUCAACGGCACAUGGGCUGAUAGUAACCAGUACACCAAAUUUGAAGUUACUGGCAUAUUAGUUCCAUCAACAAUUUCGUUCAAAGAAAUGCUAACUAAAAUAUGCAGUGCAUUACGGCUAGACACAAACGCAACAACAUUGUCGAUCAAAUUUCAGAUUAGAAGCGACAUUCCACCUAUCAUUAUAUCAGAUGAAUCAACCUUACAAUUCUUUCUGGAAAUGAGUAGGAAAUCUGGUGAACAAGGUAAAUUCCCACUGAUUGUGGAUAUUGAACACAUAAUGGGACGCACAAAAAUCUUGCAUAACUUGACAAAUGUAGAAGAAUCUACAAUUCACGAUGUAAUGCCAAUCAGAUCAACACAAAGGAAUUCAGCACUAGUUCCACUAGCAAGACAAGAAUGCUAAUUUGGAACGCAAUAUGCUGAUCAGCUUGCAAUGGAAAUUAUUGAACAACAACGAGACAUACAACAUGACAAAUCAUACGCGGAAGAAGGAUAUGAUGAUGUAAUAUCGGAUUCGAAUGAACGUGAUGUAAAAUUACAUCAAACCUAGAAAGACAAAAAAAUCCUAUCACAAGCUAUGAGGCUGCAUUCGAUCAGAAAAAACAGACAACACAAAGUCCAACGAACAAGUUAUAGAGACUUUGUGUUAGUGUGCGUAUACGAUGAAAAUUGCAAAUGGAAGAUGAGAGCAUCAAGUUUCUGAAAAACUAGUAUGUUCAAGGUGAGAGAAUUCAACGACAUCCACACUUGUUCGGUCAAUGUAUUGUUGGGAGACCACAGACAGGCAAAUAGUGAGUUGGUCAGUGAAUGCAUAAUGCAAAAAAUAAUAAAUUUGAAGAAAAUAUACACACCAACCGAUGUUGUGGAAGACAUGAUGUCAGAAUAUAAUGUGUCUAUCUCUUACCAAAAAGCAUGGAGAUCGAAGGAGAAAGCGUUGGAAAAGGUGAGAGGAAAUCCACACGACUACUCACUCAUCCCAUCAUGGUUACACAUGUUGAAGAAAACAAAUCCAGGUAAGACUUUAAAACAUUUUAUUGGUUUUACAUCAUUAGACAGUAACCAAUAUGAUGUUACACAGUAACCAAUACAUCAUUACAUAUUAGAAGGUUACCAUUGUAAAAUUUGGUUACUGCUUAAUGUUGUCUUGGUUAGCUUCAUGAAACAUGUUGUUACUGUCUAAUGCAUUGGUUACUAAGCAUGUGGUUACUGUCUAAUGCUAUAUUGAUUACUGUCUAAUGCACUGGUUACUAAGCAUGUGGUUACAAAAAUAGCAUUAUUCAGUAACCAAUUAAGUAUUAUACAGUAACCAAUAUAGCAUUAUACAGUAACCAAUACACCUUUUGACAUUAUAUGUGUUAGUAUGUAUAUUUAAUUACUAAACCUUUAUACAAUUUGUAUACGGUUAUUAUACAUGUUUGGUUACCUUAAUAUGCGUGUUUAGUUACUAAAUGUAGUAUACAAGUUGUAUACCAUUAACUACAUGAACGGUUACCGAUAACUAGUAAUUUGGAUACUGUAUACUACUUGUAAUUCUAAUGAUAAUGAUGAUUUUCAUAUCAGGUUCCGUCACAGCCCUUGAGUUGGAAACAAAUGGCCGUUUCAAGUAUCUAUUCUUUGCCAUUGGAGCGUCCAUUCAAGCAUGGCACCAUUAUUUUCCAAUCAUUGUAAUCGAUGGCACAUUCAUACAAUCAACUUACGGGGGGACACUACUGAUAGCAAGCACACAAGAUGCAAACCGAAACAUUAUUCCGAUUGCUUUUUCAGUUGUUGACAGCGAAAAUGAAAUGUAUUGGAGAUGGUUUUUCGUAAAUUUGAGAAUUGCUUGUGGAGUUAGGGAAGGUCAAUGUAUUGUUUCAAACAGGCAUGAAGCCAUUAUACAAGGACUAAAUUUUGUGUUUCUGGAUAUCAUGCAUGGUUCCUGCACAUAUCAUAUACUGAAAAAUAUAAAAACAAAUUCAAAAAGAAAGGAGAAGAAGUUAAACAGGCUUACAACGGGGCUUGUAGAGCUUACACUGUUGAACAAUUCAACAAACACAUGGCUGAACUUGAUGCCAUUGAUCCUCGAAUAAGGACAUAUCUGGAGGAAGAGGUCAGAUUGGAUAAGUGUACCAGGCUCCAUGGGACUGUAAGUAGGUACUCAACAAUGACUUCAAACACAGCCGAAUCUAUUAACAAUGCAAUCAAGUUUAUCAGGGAUCUUCCAGUUGCGUCAAUGAUUGAAUGCCUACGUUGUCUGGUUCAGAGAUGGUAUUUCACAAACAAACAAGCAGCCAUAUCAACAUUCACAACUCUUUCUACAACGGCUGAGAGAAGGUUACAAUCUAAUAUCUUUAAAUCAAAGAUACUUAAGGUAAUUAAUACUUGAUUUAAAUUAUUGCAUCCUAAUUUACAUUUGCAACUUACUGAUUAUUAUUAACUUGGUUACUUAAUAAUGUUAAAUUAGUUACUGUGCAACAUUUUAUUGGUUACUGACUAUUGCUGGCUUGGUUACUGUGUAACCAUAUAAUGGUUAUUGUGUAAAAUUAUACUAACUAACAGUAACUUGAAUAAUAUUACUGACUAAUACUGACUUGGUUACAGACUAAUGCUAACUUACUUAAUGUGCAACAUUAUAUUGGUUACUGACUACUACUGAAUUGCUUACUAUCUAAUUAUAUAAUGGUUACUAUAUAAUGCUUAGUUGGUUACUGUGUAACAUCAUACUGGUUACUAAUUAAUACUGACUUAGUUAAUAUGUAACAUUAUAAUGUUACUGAGAUUUAUAAUUGUUUCUUGUAUAUUGGUGGUUACUUAUUAACUAACAUUCUGGUACUAGUUAAUUGGUUACUGUAUAUUUGGCAUGCAACUAUUAAUCUGAUUGUAUGCAUUGGGUGUUGUAGGUUGAGACAUCAAACUUAGUGAUUUUCACUGUUUACGAUGUCUCUAAACAGUAUAUUGUGGACAUCGAACAAAAGACAUGCACAUGCCGUAAAUUUUAGUACCAUGAGAUGCCUUGUCCGCACGCUGCUGCUGUUAUAAGCAAGAGAAAUUUGACCUGUUAUGAUUUUUGCUCAAAAAAUUACACUAAAGCAACUUUGGUCGAGACAUAUUCAGCUUCCAUCAUGCCAUUAGAUGACAAAGAAAACUGGGAUGUAUCAGAAGAAGUAAGAAACAUAUGUAUAAAACCACCCAACACAAGAAGACCAGCAGGAAGACCAAAAAAAGGGAGGUACAAACACGGAUCUGAAAUCAAAAUUCAAAACAAAUGCAGCAGGUGCCAAGAAAAAGGACACAACAGAAAAACAUGCAGUAAUCCCCCGGUUUUAAGACCACUAAAAAGGGUCUGAUAUAGUGCAGUUAAAUUAAGAGUGUAGAUACAUGAAUGUAUUAUUGUUUACUUUGAGUAACCAUUAAACGAUUGGUUUGUAAAAUUUUUGAUUGUGUAUAGUAAACAAAAUUGUUAUUCAUUUAUAUAUUGAUUUCUGAUUUCAAUGAAACAUUGACAAUAACAGUAAUCAAAUAAAUACAUAACAGUAACCAUAACAGUUUUUAAUGGUAACAACAUAUUUACAUAACAGUAACCAUAACAGUUACCAGCUAAUAACAUAACAGUAACCAUACCAGUUUUUAACAAAAUAAUUACAUAACAGUAACCAUAACAAUGUUUAAUGAUUUCCAAAUAAUUACAUAACAGUAACCAUCACAGUAACCACCUAAUUUCAUAACAGUAACAAUACCAUUUUAUAAUGGUAACCACAACAUAAACAACCUGUAUAUCCAGCAACAUAUAAUUAAAAGGGUAUUGAAGUUUAUGAAACCCAUGUAUACUCACACAUGUCCACUUAACAUAUGACAUAUGUCCUGAUACAAUAUUGUAACUCUCUGGUUACUAUCAAAUCAUUAUCUGGUUACCUAUUUAUACAUGAUUGGUUACCAACUGUAUAUUAUAAAAUUAUAAUUGGUUACCAUUUUAUACAUGACAGUAACCAUAACAGUAACCAUGCCAGUUUUUAAUGUAAACCAAAUAAUUACAUAACAGUAACCAUAACAAUGUUUAAUGGUACCCAAAUAAUCUCUCUGGUUACUAUCAAAUCAUUAUCUGGUUACCUAUUUAUACCUGAUUGGUUACCAACUGUAUAUUACAAAAUUAUAAUUGGUUACCAUUUUAUACAUGACAGUAACCAUAACAGUAACUAUGCCAGUUUUUAAUGUAAACCAAAUAAUUACAUAACAGUAACCAUAACAAUGUUUAAUGGUACCCAAAUAAUUACAUAACAGUAACCAUCACAAUAACCACCUAAUUUCAUAACAGUAACCAAACCAGUUUAUAAUGGUAACCACAACAUAAACAACCUGUAUAUUCAGCAACCUGUAAUUAAAAGGGUAUUGAAGUUUAUGAAACCCAUGUAUACAUAACACAUGUACACUUAACAUAUGAUAUAUGUCCUGAUACAAUCUUGUAACUCUGGUUACUAUCAAAUCAUUAUCUGAUUACCCCUUUAUACAUGAUUGGUUACCAACUGUAUAUUUCAAAAAAAUUCAACAAACACAACUUAAAAAGAAACAAAAUACCAACCAACAAACAAUAUCUCUUUCAUUAAUGCUAAUAUAAUCAAAUAUAUAAUCCCAUCUACAUAAGAUCCAGUGAACAUCAAAAAAUCAUAAACCAUACACAAAUGUUGUGUAUAACACCAAAACUUAAAAAAAAAUACACAACAAAAUUAAUAAAAACAAAACAAUAAAAUCCGAACUAAUCAAAAUCUGGAACAAAUCUUCCUGGAAAUUCUCUAUCAGUAUCAUAGCCCUCCAACUGCUUGUUCCUAGCAUGCAUAAAUAGGUUUGUGCAUAACUUUUUCCGAUACUUCGCAAUGGGGAAAGGAAUAGGAAUCUGAUCAAACUUCUGAUGAAUGACAUGCUCAGCAAAACAAAUUGUGAACAUCCCACAAUCACUGUAACAACAAACAACAUAUAACAAAAAUCAAAAAUAAAAUCAACCUAUAUGUAAUAAUUAAAAAAAUGUACACAAUUUAACCCUUACCCCUCUACUUGUUCAGGAACCGUCUCAGCAAAUUCCAACUCAAUUAUAUCGUCUUCGUCCUUGUUGUGAUACGGGUCACUGCUGAAGUCAAUGUCAAACCUAUCCUUCCAAAAACCAGACUUGCGCAGUAGUAUGGGAAGAAUGAAGAUGUACGGCUCACAAACAUCAGAUAUUUUAGUUUUCAUGGAUUUCCUUUUUGGUUGUAGAGAAUUGUAAACAGUUAGACACCUACGAUGCACAUCAAAAGUCAACAACAACCAAUGGUCCGGUGAUGACAUAUGAAUUGGGAACAACACAUAGUGAACAUUCCUCCAUGGUGUGUUCACAUCCAUAAACAGCCCAUGUAUGUAUUCAGCAACAUCACCCUCCCCAGACAGAACAAUUUUGUCACAAUUUUUUUUUGUAUACUCCUCGAAAAGAGCGGUGAUCUUGCUGUGAAACCAACAAUCCGUGGUCGUUACCCUUAUAAGAACACUUUCGGAAUGUCUUUCCAUUUUACAAAAAUAAUACAACGCAACAUUGAUGUGCUGAGCCAAAAAAAAAAUUAAUAGGAUAUUAACAGUUGUUGGAAAAUGCAAGUAUGUGAUGAAUGUAACUAAAUAAUGUAAACAUAACUAUAAAAACAUAAUUUUAAAACAAAUACUCACAUCGUCGUCUAACCACUGCCCAGGCGUCUUUAAUUUAUAGAACCACAUCUUCGAUGAUAUUGCAAUGGAUCCAAAUACAAAAGAAGGCAUGAUAAUAUCGUUCUUUCCAGGAAAUUUAUCCGUCCUUCAAUAUAAAAACAUAAUAUUAGUAUACACACUAACAUUAACAAUUACCGUAUUAAUAUACACACUACUACAAAUCAAACUUGCACGUUCUAUAAUUAACAUACUAAUCAACCAACUUAAUUUUAAACAGUACCCUGCUAACCAACAAAUAUUAAAAUCAUAACCAUAAUCAAAUAGUAACUAAUACAUAACUAAUAGGUAACCAAAACAUAAACUAAUAUUAACCAGAAUAUAAAGUAAUAGUAACCAUAACAUUUAUUUAAUAGUAACCACACCAUUUAUUUAAUAUUAACAUUUAUUUAAUAUUUAAUAUUAUGUAGUAACCAAAACAGCAUCAGUCAGUAACCAAUUAAGCAUUAUACAGUAACCAAUGUAAUGUUACACAGUAACCAAUACAACAUUCGACAGUAACCAAUACAUCAUUAGACAGUAACCAAAACAGCAUACCAAAAUCAGUAAACUAAUCAACAACUUAAUUUUAAACAUUAAUCUGGUAACCAAACCAUAAUCACAUAGUAACCGAAACAUAACUACUAGGAAACCAAAACAUAAUCUAAUAGUAACCAGAAUAUAAAAUAAUAGUAACCAUAACAUUUAUUUAAUAUUAACCAUAUGUUACUACAAUAAUCCAAACUUAUUUGUUUCAUAAAAAACUAUAGCAUUGUUAACAACAAAAAACAAACCUUUUUCUGUUGUUUAUUUCAAUUUUGAACUAUUCUUCAAACAAUGCCUCUUCAAAUUUUUAGGGCAUCUCCAUGCAUGAUUUGGGGAAUGCACUUAAACGUGCAAGUGUUUGACUAGCAGCACCCACUACAGUAGAUGAUGAACCAGCCGAUCCGAACGCUGCUGUAUAUGGAGACCGUAAAAUGGCACUCUUUGCAGGUUCACGUACAGGUCUACCACCGGCUUUGUGGACACUCUUCUCCAACUCAUCACACUUAGCUAUGUCCUGUGUGGUGAGAACCAUAAAAUCAAGAGCAUACCUGCUUGCUGCCUCACCUUUCUUCCCCUUUUUCAGUUGACAUAAAAAGGUAAUAUAUACGAUUAGUAACCUGAAUAACAUAAACUAGUAACCAACUGACUGUACAACAACCAACAAACUAAAAUGAAAAUGUUAUAUUAGUAAUCUAAAUAACAUAAACUAGUAACCAAAUCAUAAUAUAAUAGUAGCCAAAUCACAAUAUAAUGGUAACCAAAACACAAUAUCAUAGUAACCAAUUCACUAUAUAAUGGUAACCAAAACAUAAAUAACAUUUAAAUAAAUGAUGGUACAUAAUUAUAACACUAACCUUAUCAACAUCAUACACAACAAUCUCUUUCCCAGUACAUUGGCUUAAUAUGUCAAAAGACGGCAUGUCAUUAUUAUUGUCAAUCUGCGCAAAAUAAAGAACCAUUUAAUAAUUAAAACAAAAGACAUAUAUCACAUAACAAAACAAACAAAUAUGUCUAACCUUGACAUCUUCUUCAUCAUCAUUAUUUUUUUUUUCAUCGGGUUCUUCAACCAUAGCAGCACGUUCAACUUCAUUAGAAAUCUCAAUUACAUUCACAUCAUUCUUCUCCACGAAUAUUGACACAUCAUCACCAACUUCAUUAUCCAAUUCAAUUUCAUUCCCACCCUUCUUCUCAACUUCAUCUAACACAUCAUCACCAUCAUUAUUCUUAUUCACUUUUGAA